GAAAUGCGAUAAGUAAUGUGAAUUGCAGAAUUCAGUGAAUCAUCGAAUCUUUGAACGCAGCUUGCGCUCCUUGGUAUUCCUUGGAGUAUGCCUGUUUGAGUAUCAUGAAAUCUUCAAAGUAAAUCUUUUGUUAACUCAAUUGGUUUCUACUUUGGUAUUGGAGGUCUUUGCAGCUUCACACCUGCUCCUCUUUGUUCAUUAGCUGGAUCUCAGUGUUAUGCUUGGUUCCACUCGGCGUGAUAAGUUAUCUAUCGCUGAGGACACUGUAAAAGGUGGCCAAGGUAAAUGCAGAUGAACCGCUUCUAAUAGUCCAUUGACUUGGACAAUACUUUUAUGAUCUGAUCUCAAAUCAGGUAGGACUACCCGCUGAACUUAAGC
RNAcentral lists this unclassified non-coding RNA (378 nucleotides) under plant metagenome. RNAcentral describes it as "partial contains 5.8S ribosomal RNA, internal transcribed spacer 2, and large subunit ribosomal RNA". The stretch from base 1 to 105 matches the Rfam family "5.8S ribosomal RNA", at positions 50 to 154 of the family's 154-position model. The record is from RNAcentral.